GAUGGCAGUGAAGAUUUGCAAAUAUUCAAGAUCAAUAGACCAAAUCACAGGUUUUCUCUCAGGAAUCGAUUUGUAUGCCAAAUAUCCUGCUGGACCGAGCCAUA
Triticum aestivum (bread wheat) is the source of this 104-nucleotide non-coding RNA. NCBI's taxonomy places the organism in Eukaryota, Viridiplantae, Streptophyta, Magnoliopsida, Poales, Poaceae. The record is from Rfam.